This 74-nucleotide transfer RNA is filed under the name Omnitrophica bacterium RIFCSPHIGHO2_02_FULL_46_20. RNAcentral's name for it is "tRNA-Gln". It matches the Rfam family "tRNA". From Rfam's summary of the family: Transfer RNA (tRNA) molecules are approximately 80 nucleotides in length. Their secondary structure includes four short double-helical elements and three loops (D, anti-codon, and T loops). RNAcentral also lists the same sequence under 3 other names. Lineage: Bacteria; Pseudomonadati; Candidatus Omnitrophota. The record is from RNAcentral.
UGGGAGGUAGUGUAACGGUAGCACUGCAGACUCUGGCUCUGCCUGUCUAGGUUCGAAUCCUAGCCUCCCAGCCA